Molecule: long non-coding RNA, 2144 nt
Organism: Lolium rigidum
Lineage: Eukaryota; Viridiplantae; Streptophyta; Magnoliopsida; Poales; Poaceae
Exons: 8
Source: RefSeq, a predicted model, not a curated record
UGCCUCCAUGCCCCCGGCGCUUCUUGCAUCUCCGCCGUCCUCCACCUCCCAGAGGCCUGACUUGUCUGGUUGUUGACAUGGAGACUUCAUCAACGUCCUCCGUCCUCCCAGAUGCGCGGCCUUUGAGUGCAUAGCUUAUUAUCGUCAAAGUUCUGAAGUUUCUGCAUCCAAAGUCCUUCGGUUACCCAAUCUCUCCCCUGCCGCAUCCAAGGUUUGCUUUCAGGGCAUGUUCUCCAGGUUAAUUCAUUCCCGGUUCUCCACCAACACUUUUCCCAGCUGGGACCGUGCACAGCCAAUUCGUGUCUUUGACUCUUAGGCCACAAUGGAGAGAUCAGUACAUUCAAAGGGAACAAGAAUUGGAUGAAAGCUCGUGGGGCCUCUUGAAGUGUGAGAAGCGUGGCCUAUCAGAGGAAGAAAUGUAAAAAAUUCUUUCAAUUGUAGAUGCCACCUCUUCAGAUUCAGGCGCAUUCGAUGGUGUUCUUGAGCUCCUUAUCCGAGGUCGAUGAAGCCUGCCAGAAGCUGUAAUGAUGAUGAUUUCUGAGGCGUGGCAGAAUGAUGUAAACAUGGAACCUGAGAAGAGAGCCCUCUACGAGUUGAGCCUUGGGAUGGGCCUGCUCUAAUAUCUUUGGUUAUUUGGAAUUCUCAUGCUGGUGUAUCUGCCUAUCUUGGAUUCCUAUCAUGGUUAUACUCUAAUCAUCUGAAGCACAAUGGUUGGAGGAGUGAAUAUUAGGUGGUUGGAGAUUUAUUCCAUAGUUUGGACCGCCAAAUUUCAAUGAAAUCUAACCUUAGUGGACUCUAUAUUACUUUUUACAAUGACUAUCUGAGAGUAUAAUUAAUCUACUGGAGUAGACAACAAAAUUUUAUAUCUACAUUUGAUUAAAACUGGCAAUCAAUAAGAACAGAAUACUACAAUUGCUUAAGUCAUUCCUUCAAUAUAGCAUAAUUGCAUCAUCCUAAUGAAAUGUGUAGAGGAGGGAUACAAAGUACAUAUUUAGAUACAACUGAUAAACCACAUUAGGCAAUCCUAGGAGGAGGUUGUUAGGCAGAGCAAGGUGGCCGUUGUUGUACGCUUACAGGUUCUAGGCGAGCACAUCAAUACUUUUAGUUCAGAGGAUGAUGCUUUAAUUGGUUGUAGUUGUUUGAUUUUUUGAAUUGAUGUAGUAUGUCAUGCCACCCUAUUCUAUUUGGCAGUUGCGGUGCUUUUCAUGUAUGUGUAGUCCUGACUCAAGAUAAAUUUACAGAAUUGCAGCCCAUGUAUGCCAUGGUCUGAAACUGAAAGUAUAAAAAUUGCCAUCACUCUGUCUAAGUGUUCCUUCCUUGCAAGAUGAUACUAGCAUGUACUUCUGCUGACAUCUUGUUUGUUUUCUUGAUUUGUUGGUUCUUGUUCGGUUGUUAGGCUCUAUAAAUGUCAUUCAUGAUCCAAUUAAAUUUAUUUGAGCAGAAAUUUUAUUUGAAAUGAUGAGGCAGCCUAAAUGCAUCGAAAAAGCACAGUGGAUCCACGAGGCUACGACAACAUAGGUUAUAUUGCAUCAUACUCUAGACUGCGACUAAAGAUAUAUUUUUUGUUCAUGGCAUGACAUGCUGUGAGGUACGAUGGUGGCCAGAUGGGGUUUGAGACAAGAGGAGAGGCUGGAUGGAGCUCUGAGGACCUCCGGUUUGGCGGCGACAUAUGCCUAUCAUGGAGGAAGUGGUUACCAUAUCUUUUUGAAAGAUGCUGCGGGCACAAAAUAAGUUGUUGGUUCACAUGUUGAAACAUGGAUAGGCAUUGUACCGUUGUAGAGAUCCCCCACUUGGAAUAUCCAAUCUAUGGUCUCGGGCGGACGGCCAUGGCGACGAUGGUGCAGCGUUGGUGUUUGACGAUGAGCCUACUAGGUGUGGUCUCUGAAGGCCGCCGAACGCGAACUUCGACGGUCCUUGCACCGGUGAUGGAGCUGCAGGGGAGUGACCGGUCUCCGCUCGGUCUUCUAAAGAGAGUGGUGGAGCUCGAUAAAGUGGGUGAUCUCGAGAGAGUGAGGAGGCAGUCGGCUUUACAUCAUUCACAUUCCUUUUCUACAAAGGGUUUCCACACAAAAAAUGUUAGCCUUUUUCGCAGUACCUUGUCAGUGAAGGUUGCUUCGCAGCAGCAGUAGGGAAGGGGAGAAACU